UCCUCUGUAGUUCAGUCGGUAGAACGGCGGACUGUUAAUCCGUAUGUCACUGGUUCAAGUCCAGUCAGAGGAG
Non-coding RNA from Pragia fontium, 73 nucleotides. NCBI's taxonomy places the organism in Bacteria, Pseudomonadati, Pseudomonadota, Gammaproteobacteria, Enterobacterales, Budviciaceae. The record is from Rfam.